Drosophila subpulchrella is the source of this 183-nucleotide long non-coding RNA. RefSeq lists it as uncharacterized. NCBI's taxonomy places the organism in Eukaryota, Metazoa, Arthropoda, Insecta, Diptera, Drosophilidae. The transcript is spliced from 2 exons. The record is from RefSeq and is a predicted model, not a curated record.
UAAGUUUUUUCUGGUGAAUCAGAAUGAGGGUCUUACAACUGAUAACUAUUCUUGGAUUAUCUUUAUUGGUCGCCGCUAAAGGAAAGCCAAAAUGGUACAAUUUGCAUAAAGGCAUUCCAUAUCCCAUAUUAGGACCGACCAUUUAAUAUUAAACAUAGCAAUAAAGUUUCUACGUAAUGUGAA